UGGGGAAUAUUGCUCAAUGGGGGGAACCCUGACGCAGCCAUGCCGCGUGAAUGAAGAAGGCCUUAGGGUUGUAAAGUUCUUUCGGUAUUGAGGAAGGUUGAUGUGUUAAUAGCACAUCAAAUUGACGUUAAAUACAGAAGAAGCACCGGCUAACUCCGUGCCAGCAGCCGCGGUAAUACGGAGGGUGCGAGCGUUAAUCGGAAUAACUGGGCGUAAAGGGCACGCAGGCGGUUAUUUAAGUGAGGUGUGAAAGCCCCGGGCUUAACCUGGGAAUUGCAUUUCAGACUGGGUAACUAGAGUACUUUAGGGAGGGGUAGAAUUCCACGUGUAGCGGUGAAAUGCGUAGAGAUGUGGAGGAAUACCGAAGGCGAAGGCAGCCCCUUGGGAAUGUACUGACGCUCAUGUGCGAAAGCGUGGGGAGCAAACAGGAUUAGAUACCCUGGUAGUCCACGCUGUAAACGCUGUCGAUUUGGGGGUUGGGGUUUAACUCUGGCGCCCGUAGCUAACGUGAUAAAAUCGACCGCCUGGGGAGUACGGCCGCAAGGUUA
RNAcentral lists this ribosomal RNA (548 nucleotides) under uncultured bacterium. RNAcentral's name for it is "bacterial SSU rRNA". It matches the Rfam family "Bacterial small subunit ribosomal RNA", at positions 355 to 896 of the family's 1533-position model. The record is from RNAcentral.